This 84-nucleotide transfer RNA is filed under the name Bacillus phage vB_BanS-Thrax1. It matches the Rfam family "tRNA". Rfam says of the family: Transfer RNA (tRNA) molecules are approximately 80 nucleotides in length. Their secondary structure includes four short double-helical elements and three loops (D, anti-codon, and T loops). Further hydrogen bonds mediate the characteristic L-shaped molecular structure. tRNAs have two regions of fundamental functional importance: the anti-codon, which is responsible for specific mRNA codon recognition, and the 3' end, to which the tRNAs corresponding amino acid is attached (by aminoacyl-tRNA synthetases). tRNAs cope with the degeneracy of the genetic code in two manners: having more than one tRNA (with a specific anti-codon) for a particular amino acid; and 'wobble' base-pairing, i.e. permitting non-standard base-pairing at the 3rd anti-codon position. The record is from Rfam by way of RNAcentral. Lineage: Duplodnaviria; Heunggongvirae; Uroviricota; Caudoviricetes.
GGACGGUUAGACAUAAUGGUAUUGGGGCGGUCUUGAAAACCGUUGGGGGUAAAACCUUUGGGAGUUCGAAUCUCUCACCGUCCG